UUUUAGCCCCGAUUGUAGCAAUUGUUUGAGCUCUUUGCAAAUGCAGUGGAUUUGGAAGGCUUGCAAAAGCGAGUGCGGAAAGCGGGAAACAGC
This 93-nucleotide unclassified non-coding RNA is filed under the name Soonwooa buanensis. Its description in RNAcentral is "Flavo-1 RNA". The record is from RNAcentral. Lineage: Bacteria; Pseudomonadati; Bacteroidota; Flavobacteriia; Flavobacteriales; Weeksellaceae.